AUAAACUUCACAUGCAAUUUCUAGCAUAUGGUGUUCACCCAAGUAAUAAUCUGCUAUUGUUAACCAGGUAUCAUCGAUGAAAAACAUGGGUCGUUUUCGCGUACUCUUCUUCAGGAUAAGCCUGAGAUCACGGAAGAAAUGAUUCGUGGGUAUAUGAGCAAUUCUGAACUUGAGACUGCUAUACAAGACUUUGGGUGGCGCUGUGCUAAUGUCUCUAGGAUAUACAGGACCCGAGCAUCAAGGAGAUGGCGGAGCAGAUCGCCAAGGACCCGUCCUUCAGCGAGAUGCCCCGUAAAUCUACUGUAUGAUCAAUCAAAACACGUUUUGUCCAAAGUCCAAACUUAAUGGUGUGAUAUUGUGGCAUAUUUACCCUGGAGCUAGCAUAUAUAUGGAGCUGACUUUGUUCCUGGAGGAGCAGACACAGAUGAGGAAUCUGCUACCUCAAAGCAGUUGAUCGACGCCGGGAGGGUGGGUACGUGAUGUCGGAGGCUGCCGGGAGGGUGGUGACGAGCUACCGAAGAGAUGAGUUCUGGCUCUCCUCGAUGCCAGGACGAGGCGCUGUU
Long non-coding RNA from Triticum aestivum (bread wheat), 563 nucleotides. RefSeq lists it as uncharacterized. The record is from RefSeq and is a predicted model, not a curated record. The transcript has 5 exons. Lineage: Eukaryota; Viridiplantae; Streptophyta; Magnoliopsida; Poales; Poaceae.